Ovis aries (sheep) is the source of this 72-nucleotide transfer RNA. It matches the Rfam family "tRNA". Rfam says of the family: Transfer RNA (tRNA) molecules are approximately 80 nucleotides in length. Their secondary structure includes four short double-helical elements and three loops (D, anti-codon, and T loops). The record is from Rfam. Lineage: Eukaryota; Metazoa; Chordata; Mammalia; Artiodactyla; Bovidae.
UCCCUUGUAGCUCAGUUGGUAAAGCAUCUGCCUGCAAUGCAGAAGACCUGGGUUCGAUUCCUUGGUCGGGAA